AUGCAGAGCCUCUUGGUGGAUGUUAAUCGAAUUUGCAAUCUUGCCACCAAGAAUACCUUUGUCACACAUGAAACCUGUCGGCGGUCGUGGAAGAGUCUGACAUUGCUCAGUUCUGAAGAUGAUCUUCAACAAGAUGGCUUCACCGAGAGAUUCAAAUUUGAUUCCACUCCUCCGAGGAACGUUGUCUUGUGUUGGACUCCCUCCCUCGAAGACUCUGAGUACUCCUCCUCAGCGGCAACUGUCGAUGCCAGAGUCGUCGAUGACGAAGAUGAUGCUACUUCACCAACUACAACUUCACCUCGAAUCGACACUGCACCAUGUUCUUCUGCACCAUCGGACUACAACAUCGACCCUGCACCUUCUCCUCCUCAUGGGAACGAGUAG
RNAcentral lists this ribosomal RNA (384 nucleotides) under Triticum aestivum (bread wheat). Its description in RNAcentral is "partial small subunit ribosomal RNA". Lineage: Eukaryota; Viridiplantae; Streptophyta; Magnoliopsida; Poales; Poaceae. The record is from RNAcentral.